RNAcentral lists this small RNA (81 nucleotides) under Mycolicibacterium phlei DSM 43239 = CCUG 21000. RNAcentral describes it as "Mycobacterium phlei DSM 43239 = CCUG 21000 Mycobacterium sRNA Ms_IGR-2". It matches the Rfam family "Mycobacterium sRNA Ms_IGR-2". Lineage: Bacteria; Bacillati; Actinomycetota; Actinomycetes; Mycobacteriales; Mycobacteriaceae. The record is from Rfam by way of RNAcentral.
GUGAUCUAGAUCACCGUCAUACGAUCGGUCUCACGACGGGUUCGGGAGUGACUUAUCCGAAGAGUCGGCAAGGGAUGAAAG